RNAcentral lists this long non-coding RNA (1299 nucleotides) under Pan troglodytes (chimpanzee). Its description in RNAcentral is "lncRNA (ENSPTRG00000053704.1)". The record is from RNAcentral. Lineage: Eukaryota; Metazoa; Chordata; Mammalia; Primates; Hominidae.
CUAAAAUAACCCUUGUGAAAGUAUCCGAAACUAUCCGAAAUAUGGCAGCAAAGGGUAAUACUCUCAUACAAAUUCUGAUUGUUUAUAUUUUUUUCAUUAUUUUCUAGGAUCCUCAAAACAAUCGGAUUUUUCAAUGGCAAAAUGUGACUUCUUUCCGAAAUAUUACCCAACUCUCGUUCCAACUGAUUUCAGAACCAAUGUUUGGAGAUUACUGGAUUGUUGUGAAAAGAAACUCAAGGAAGACAGUGACACACCAAUUUGCUGUUAAAAGAUAUGUGCUGCCCAAGUUUGAAGUUACGGUCAAUGCACCACAAACAGUAACUAUUUCAGAUGAUGAAUUCCAAGUGGAUGUAUGUGCUAAGUACACCUUUGGCCAACCUGUGCAAGGGAAAACCCAAAUCCGGGUGUGCAGAGAGUAUUUUUCUUCAAGCAAUUGUGAGAAAAAUGACAAUGAAAUAUGUGAGCAAUUUAUUGCACAGUGCCUUUCUAGAUGAUUAGAAUUUCUUCCUCUGAAAACACUGUGAACCAAAAGUAUCUGAGACAGAUGUCAAUCAAUUUGCAAAGCUUAUGUUGCCAAGGUGAAGGAUGUACCUAUGACAGCCUCCAGAGGUCCUACCAACAUGUGCCCAAGGUGGUUGGGGUACAGCUUGCUUUUACACAUUUCAGGGAGAUGUGAGACAUCAACAAAUAUGUGUAAGAUGUACAUUGGUUCAGUCCAGAAAGGCAGGACAAUCCAAACUAAGGGGGUUUCCAGGUCAUAGGUAGAUAAGAGACAAACAGUUGCAUAAAGAAGAAGUCUUUGAGGCCAGGUGCAGUGAUUCACAGCUGUAAUCCCAGCACUUUGGGAGGCCGAGGCGGGCAGAUCACGUGAGGUCAGGAGAUCGAGACCAGCCUGACCAACAUGGAGAAACCCCAUCUCUACUAAAAAUACAAAAAUUAGCCGGGCGUGGUGGCAGGUGUCUGUAAUCCCAGCUACUCGAGAGACUGAUGCAGGAGAAUCGCUUGAACCUGGGAGGCGGAGGUUGCAGUGAGUCAAGAUUGGGCUAUUUCACCCCAGCCCUAGUGACAGAGCAAGACUCUAUCUCAAAAAAAAAAAAAAAAAGAAUAAGUCUUUGUCUUUGAUCAGCCUUUCACUGAAUACACAAAUUACAUGUGAGAGGAGGAUAGAGGAAUAGUCACUUAUGCCUUAGUGUGGCUCAGUAAAUCUGCAUUUUUACAUAAACUAUUAGGCAGAGGAAGCAAUCAGAGAAAUCAGAUACGUAUUUGUCUCAGGUAAGCAGAGGGAUGACUGAAUCUGUC